RNAcentral lists this transfer RNA (87 nucleotides) under Clostridiaceae bacterium. RNAcentral's name for it is "tRNA-Leu". It matches the Rfam family "tRNA". Rfam says of the family: Transfer RNA (tRNA) molecules are approximately 80 nucleotides in length. Their secondary structure includes four short double-helical elements and three loops (D, anti-codon, and T loops). Further hydrogen bonds mediate the characteristic L-shaped molecular structure. tRNAs have two regions of fundamental functional importance: the anti-codon, which is responsible for specific mRNA codon recognition, and the 3' end, to which the tRNAs corresponding amino acid is attached (by aminoacyl-tRNA synthetases). tRNAs cope with the degeneracy of the genetic code in two manners: having more than one tRNA (with a specific anti-codon) for a particular amino acid; and 'wobble' base-pairing, i.e. permitting non-standard base-pairing at the 3rd anti-codon position. The record is from RNAcentral. Lineage: Bacteria; Bacillati; Bacillota; Clostridia; Eubacteriales; Clostridiaceae.
GCAAGAUUGAUGAAAUUGGUAAACGUGCUGGUUUAAGGUGCCAGUGGUAGUGAUACCUUGUGGGUUCGAGUCCCACAUCUUGCACCA